GGGCCUAAUUGAUUUUAUAAUUGGGUUAGGAUCUAAUUAGUUAGUUUGUUAUAACUAAUUCCUAAAUUGAUUAGGAUUGGAUCUAAGGGUUAGUUAGAAUUGGAACAGGAUCUUGAGUCCAAUGUGGAAUAGGACUUAACCAACUAAAAUACCCCAUGUGAUAUAUUCUCCACACCCCACUUUUUAUCAUGAGAAUUUCUCAUGGCCCAUAGGAUG
RNAcentral lists this long non-coding RNA (216 nucleotides) under Elaeis guineensis (African oil palm). Its description in RNAcentral is "long non-coding RNA (EGUI_LNC066841)". The record is from RNAcentral. Lineage: Eukaryota; Viridiplantae; Streptophyta; Magnoliopsida; Arecales; Arecaceae.